Long non-coding RNA from Bufo bufo (common toad), 184 nucleotides. RefSeq lists it as uncharacterized. The transcript is spliced from 3 exons. The record is from RefSeq and is a predicted model, not a curated record. Lineage: Eukaryota; Metazoa; Chordata; Amphibia; Anura; Bufonidae.
AAGGGCACAUGUCAGAAGAUUUGUACAUUUGACACUGGAUGACCUAUUUCAUGUGCGCUUGGCAGUUGAAGACAUCUGUGUUGGUCUCAUGUUCAUAUGUGCCCGCAUUUCUAAGAAAAAUGCAAAUGACCCUCUAGGAACAACGGGGGCAUUACCAUUACACCUGGACGCUCUGCUCUCCCUG